UUGGAGGGCAAGUCUGGUGCCAGCAGCCGCGGUAAUUCCAGCUCCAAUAGCGUAUAUUAAAGUUGUUGCAGUUAAAAAGCUCGUAGUUGAAUUUCGGGGUUAGUAGGUUGGUCAUGCCUCUGGUAUGUACUGGUCUCACUGAUUCCUCCUUCCCGAUGAACCGUAAUGCCAUUAAUUUGGUGUUGCGGGGAAUUUGGACUGUUACUUUGAAAAAAUUAGAGUGUUUAAAGCAAGCUAACGCUUGAAUACAUUAGCAUGGAAUAAUGAAAUAGGACGUUCGAUCCUAUUUUGUUGGUUUCUAGGAUUGACGUAAUGAUUAAUAGGGAUAGUUGGGGGCAUUAGUAUUCAAUUGUCAGAGGUGAAAUUCUUGGAUUUAUUGAAGACUAACUACUGCGAAAGCAUUUGCCAAGGAUGUUUUCAUUAAUCAAGAACGAAAGUUAGGGGAUCGAAGACGAUCAGAUACCGUCGUAGUCUUAACCAUAAACUAUGCCGACUAGGGAUCGGAUGAUGUUAAUUUUUUAAUGACUCAUUCGGCGCCUUACGGGAAAC
This 549-nucleotide ribosomal RNA is filed under the name uncultured fungus. RNAcentral describes it as "SSU rRNA". It matches the Rfam family "Eukaryotic small subunit ribosomal RNA", at positions 548 to 1098 of the family's 1831-position model. Lineage: Eukaryota; Fungi. The record is from RNAcentral.